UACGUAGGGUGCAAGCGUUAAUCGGAAUUACUGGGCGUAAAGCGUGCGCAGGCGGUCGUGCAAGACAGAUGUGAAAUCCCCAGGCUUAACCUGGGAACUGCAUUCGAGACUGCAUUGCUAGAGUAUGGGAGAGGGAAGUGGAAUUUCCGGUGUAGCGGUGAAAUGCGUAGAUAUCGGAAGGAACAUCAGUGGCGAAAGCGACUUCCUGGACCAAUACUGACGCUCAUGUGCGAAAGCGUGGGGAGCAAACAGG
RNAcentral lists this ribosomal RNA (253 nucleotides) under uncultured bacterium. RNAcentral describes it as "partial 16S ribosomal RNA". It matches the Rfam family "Bacterial small subunit ribosomal RNA", at positions 524 to 776 of the family's 1533-position model. The record is from RNAcentral.